GAAGGAUUCAUAAACGACAACCAGCCCCUGAACUCUGCCUUCUGAAUCCCAAUUCCCAAGCCAACUUGGAGAACGUCCAGCGUCUCUUCUAAUCAAGAACUAUGUGACAUCUCCUAUUUUGAAGAAACUUUGUUAAGUUGAUCAGAUGAUUUACAUGUGAUCACAGAUGUUACAAAAUCUAAAUGCCCCGCCUGGGUCGCCCAGGUUCUUGAAGGACUUCUGAAAAAGCCCCGUGCUCCUUUCCCCCGUGAUCCUGCUCACAUCCUCCCUCCCCACCAGCCCAGUGAGAAAACUCCAUCCCCCCUUCAACUUGACCGACACUUCAGGGGGCUUGGAGAGGUGCCACAGCCGGGAGAGCUCUCUGCACACUUCACAUUAUCAUCAGCGCUCUGCUCACAAGAUUCCCGCCUCACAAGGCUAAAUGUCUCUUGACUCCUAUUGAACCCUGGCUGGAGAAAAACAAAGAACAAAAAACCAAUGAGAACUGUGAGGAAGUAUGGGAAGGGUUUCGAGUAGAGGAGUUGUCAGACCCUGUGAGCAAGCUCCCUCUGGCUGCUGCUGGGCAUGGAUUGUGCGAACAGCGGACGAGUGCCUGCUACAAUAACCCAGAGGAGAGACGAGAGGGCCUUGGACCUGAAAGAAGAGCGGAGUCCAUGUCUGGACAGCACGGAGAGCAGAGGCUGCCAAAGAGACAGCCAACAUCUACAUCACAAAAGAGCCAUGGCCAACGGAGAAAGCGGAAAGAAUGCACACUGCCCUGUACUACGUGGAGAAGGAGCCAGCAAGCAGUAUGGUACUGUAUUCUUUUUCAGCUUCUAAAAUAAUAGUAACAUCUCCAAUAGUGUUUCAUAAAAUCAGGGCAAACUAAGGAGUGGUCAUCUUAAUAAAGGGAUUCUUCAAGAUGUUCUUCAGAAUAUUGAAUAAAAAUGUUACUAUGGAAUAUUUUUACAGAGUAUUUUAAUCACUUUAAAGUAUGUAAGGUAAGGGGAAUGUUACUAGUAAAGGGGCACUUUUAACAAAUGGAUAAGACUGGAGGUGGAGUGAUAUAGUGAAACAUUUAUGGACCAACCCAGGCUCAAAUCCUGCCUUCACCACUUACUAGCUGUGUGACCUUGGAUGAGUUACUGAAUUUCUUUGAACUUCAGUUUCCUUAUCUAUAGCAUGGAGAUGAAAAUUAUCUAUUUCAAAGAAUUCUUCUGAGGAUCAAAUGACACUGUGUAUACAAGAUGUCUUACAGAAGGUUGGGUAUAUAUUAAGCAUUUG
This 1263-nucleotide long non-coding RNA is filed under the name Equus caballus (horse). RNAcentral's name for it is "lncRNA (ENSECAG00000030128.2)". Lineage: Eukaryota; Metazoa; Chordata; Mammalia; Perissodactyla; Equidae. The record is from RNAcentral.